UCUGUUAGCUUAGAUAGUUUAGAAGUUUCAUCUGGUCUUGUUGAGAUAUAUACACUCUAAAAACAGAUGGUUCUUUAAAGGUUCUUUACAUGUAGUAACGGUUAUAUUUAGAACCAUAGCAUCCUGAAGAACCCUUUUAUGCUGAAAUGGUUCUUUGUGUUAGAGUUUAGGGUUCUUUAUUCCCGUCCUUUUGUUUUUCAAAUCUGUAACUGUCAAAGCACCUCAUUACUGAUUUUCUGGAGUUCAGUGAUACAACUACACAGACUGUCAACAGUUUUUUGGUCACAUGUAAGUGUGAGCAGCUCUUUUAAGCUGAGGAUACUUCUCUCCUCUUCUCCACUAAAUGCAUCACAUCCCACAACCUCAUCAUCUGCAGAUAAACUGUCACUCAGUCACACCAUAAUUAUGGACUUAAAGGCAUAUGAAGAUAUUUCACUGGAACUUGUUCAACAGAAUACGUAAGUGUGACCAGCCCUGUUCAGUUAAAGAUACUUAUCUCCUCUUCACCACCAAGUAACAAAGAUAGAAUUGAUAUGCUGUCACAUCCUACAACCUCGUCAUCUGCAGAGAGAAACUGACACUCAAUCACACCAAAAUAUACAUAAUGAUGGACUUUCAGGCAUCAUAGAGG
Onychostoma macrolepis is the source of this 631-nucleotide long non-coding RNA. RefSeq lists it as uncharacterized. Lineage: Eukaryota; Metazoa; Chordata; Actinopteri; Cypriniformes; Cyprinidae. The transcript is spliced from 5 exons. The record is from RefSeq and is a predicted model, not a curated record.